RNAcentral lists this ribosomal RNA (410 nucleotides) under Lactarius tabidus. Its description in RNAcentral is "eukaryotic LSU rRNA". The stretch from base 1 to 71 matches the Rfam family "5.8S ribosomal RNA", at positions 84 to 154 of the family's 154-position model. Lineage: Eukaryota; Fungi; Basidiomycota; Agaricomycetes; Russulales; Russulaceae. The record is from RNAcentral.
GUGAGUCAUCGAAUCUUUGAACGCACCUUGCGCCCCUUGGUAUUCCGAGGGGCACACCCGUUUGAGUGUCGUGAAAACCUCAACCUCUUUGGUUUCUUCUGGGGACCAAAGCAGGCUUGGACUUUGGAGGCCUUUUGCUGGCACCUCUCUCUUUUGAAGGCCAGCUCCUCUUAAAUGAAUUAGCAGGGUCCUCUUUGCCGAUCCUCGACGUGUGAUAAGAUGUUUUUCCAUGUCUUGGUUUCUGGCUCUGUCACCUUUGGGACCCGCUUCUAACCGUCUUGACCUUGCGUCGAGACAAUGUUCGAGCAUGUCUCCCCAUUCUCGGGAAGCUCCCUCGACCCCACGAACCCCUUGACCUCAAAUCGGGUGAGACUACCCGCUGAACUUAAGCAUAUCAAUAAGCGGAGGAA